Echinops telfairi (small Madagascar hedgehog) is the source of this 104-nucleotide small nuclear RNA. The record is from RefSeq and is a predicted model, not a curated record. Lineage: Eukaryota; Metazoa; Chordata; Mammalia; Afrosoricida; Tenrecidae.
GUGCUUGCUUUGUCAGCACAUAUACUAAAAUUGGAACAAUAAAGAGAUUAGCAAGGCCCCUGCACAAGAAUGGCAAGCAAAUUUGUGAAGUGUUCCUAUUAAAA